GUGCUUGCUUUGGCAGCACAUAUAGUAAAAUUGGAACGAUACAGAGAGAUUAGCAUGGCCCCUGCACAAGGAUGACACGCAAAUUUGUGAAGUGUUCCAUAUUUUU
Molecule: small nuclear RNA, 106 nt
Organism: Myotis lucifugus (little brown bat)
Lineage: Eukaryota; Metazoa; Chordata; Mammalia; Chiroptera; Vespertilionidae
Source: Ensembl